CAAAAAAAGUUGUGCAUACCCAGGGUGUUUUUACCCACGGCCAUUUUCCGUGGGUAUUACCCACGGCAAAGCCUUUGAAAACGUGAAAUUAAGAAAUCACUUGUUUGCAUCUCACUUUUUUAAAGGAAAUGUUGCAUCCACCAAAUGAAGGGGCUGGGCGCCAAAUGAAAUUUUAGUUACCCACGACAAAUUUGUAUAUAAGUAUAAAUUAUAAUUUUAAUAAUUUUUUUUAUUAAUUUACUUACACUUUACCUUUCUUUUCUUCAUGUUACUUUUCUUCACUUUACCAAAGACUGAGGAAACGAAGGACGGAAGACAUAUCACAAAUCCCUAUCACUCUCCAUUCCAGCGACCCUGUCAUCUCCGGCUACCAUCUUCGUUCUGGCGACCCUCUCCACUCUAGAGAGCAUCUCCACUUUCUCCGUUUCCCAGCUGCGUUCUCUCUGUUCGUCCCCCCUCCACCGGAACAGUUGAAAAUAUCAUCUAUUGGUCUGUGGAACAACACCUUUUAUGAUACGAGGUUCACGCGAAAUUGAAGAAGCUUUAUUGAAACACUUGGGAGUGAAACGAAAUGAUGGUUUCUUUUCUGUUGGAGAAAUGGGAUGCAUGUUUUAUGAAGUUAUAAUGCAGCGGGCCGAGCUGGUUGGCUUUAGUAUUUGCCAGCCAGGAAGUUUAAACUGCUGCUAAAAUAAGACAUGGCACAGUACCAGCUCUUGACUGCAUAAGUUUUCUUGGUGCAAGAUAGAUUGUGCCGUAAAUUUUUCUUAAAAAAAAAGUUAUAUGAUGCAGUUAUCCUCCUGUCUCACGGCAAGUGUUUUGAUCUUUGGCCGAUUACUCCUUGUUUUCCUUUUCGUUAGUUUUAUAUUUAAUCUGUGUUUGUGGAUUUUGACAUUCUUUUA
Molecule: long non-coding RNA, 899 nt
Organism: Trifolium pratense (red clover)
Lineage: Eukaryota; Viridiplantae; Streptophyta; Magnoliopsida; Fabales; Fabaceae
Exons: 4
Source: RefSeq, a predicted model, not a curated record